RNAcentral lists this ribosomal RNA (509 nucleotides) under uncultured archaeon. RNAcentral's name for it is "bacterial SSU rRNA". It matches the Rfam family "Archaeal small subunit ribosomal RNA", at positions 368 to 879 of the family's 1478-position model. The record is from RNAcentral.
CGACUGGGUCAGUCCGAGUGAUUCCUGAUAAAGGAGUCUUUUGCUUGUCCUAAAAGCACAGGUGAAUAAGGGGUGGGCAAGUCUGGUGUCAGCCGCCGCGGUAAUACCAGCACCUCGAGUGGUCAGGACGUUUAUUGGGCCUAAAGCAUCCGUAGCCGGCUCUGCAAGUCUUCGGUUAAAUCCACCUGCUCAACAGAUGGGCCGCUGGAGAUACUACAGAGCUAGGGAGUGGGAGAGGCAGACGGUAUUCAGUGGGUAGGGGUAAAAUCCUCUGAUCCAUUGAGGACCACCAGUGGCGAAGGCGGUCUGCCAGAACACGUUCGACGGUGAGGGAUGAAAGCUGGGGGAGCAAACCGGAUUAGAUACCCGGGUAGUCCCAGCUGUAAACGAUGCAAACUCGGUGAUGCAUUGGCUUAUGGCCAAUGCAGUGCCGCAGGGAAGCCGUUAAGUUUGCCGCCUGGGAAGUACGGACGCAAGUCUGAAACUUAAAGGAAUUGGCGGGGGAGCAC